Molecule: ribosomal RNA, 301 nt
Filed under: uncultured bacterium
Lineage: Bacteria
Description: partial 16S ribosomal RNA
Rfam family: Bacterial small subunit ribosomal RNA
Source: RNAcentral
CAGCCGCCACGGUAAUACGAGGGGGGCAAGCGUUGUUCGGAAUUAUUGGGCGUAAAGGGUGCGUAGGCGGUUUGACAAGUCUUAUGUGAAAUCUCUGGGCUCAACCCAGAGUCUGCAUGGGAAACUGUCGGGCUUGAGUAUGGGAGAGGUGAGUGGAAUUUCCGGUGUAGCGGUGAAAUGCGUAGAUAUCGGAAGGAACACCUGUGGUGAAAGCGGCUCACUGGACCAUAACUGACGCUGAGGCACGAAAGCUAGGGGAGCAAACAGGAUUAGAUACCCCAGUAGUCCCUGUCUCUUAUAC